AUACGAUGUACUUUUUUGUAGUGUAUUUAUAAUGUACCAAACUUUGGCUAAAACAAAAUACGGAUACAUACUAGACAUAAUUAAAAUAGAUUUUAAGAAGUUUAGAAACUGUGAUGCCCCAACUUUCCAAGGGGCCACCCAUCUUAGGACUACUAUCGUCCUAGCACGUUUUUUAACUCUUUCAAUCUCUUGAGUCUAGCCACCGUCUAAAAUACUUAAACCAUGUUAAGAGUUUAGCCCUAUUAUACUUCAUAUAUAGGACUCUCUGGAGCCUCACAUUCUUCUCCUCUUUAAGCCAUAAGCUGUGUUAAGAAUUUAGCCCUAUUAUAUCUCAUAGAUAGGACUCUGGAGUAACUUUAUUCAGAUCGAAACAGGAUUUUAAAAGAAAAAUAAUUUUUCUGAGUUCUAGACUUUUUGAAC
Molecule: long non-coding RNA, 420 nt
Filed under: Ananas comosus (pineapple)
Lineage: Eukaryota; Viridiplantae; Streptophyta; Magnoliopsida; Poales; Bromeliaceae
Description: long non-coding RNA (ACOM_LNC024625)
Source: RNAcentral